RNAcentral lists this long non-coding RNA (20893 nucleotides) under Setaria viridis. The record is from RNAcentral. Lineage: Eukaryota; Viridiplantae; Streptophyta; Magnoliopsida; Poales; Poaceae.
CCUGUGUCCGCGUUCCCGAGGGCACCCCUCUCUUUCAAGAGGAUUCGCGGCAUGUCAAGCCCUGGUAAGGUUCUUCGCUUUGCAUCGAAUUAAACCACAUGCUCCACCGCUUGUGCGGGCCCCCGUCAAUUCCUUUGAGUUUCAUUCUUGCGAACGUACUCCCCAGGCGGGAUCUCUUCUUUGUUCCUUGUCUAUAGGGAAAUUACAUGUUAUUCAAGGCAGCAAUAGAACCCCAAAUCGUUCGUUCGUUAGGAUGCCUCAGCUGCAUACAUCACUGCACUUCCACUUGACACCUAUUUAAACGGCUCGUCUCGCCGCUACCUUAUCCUAUUUCCAUACUUCUGUCGCUCCAUCCCCGUAUGGGUGGAGAACCCGUCGCUGUCUCGGCUGUGCUACCGGAUGGAAGAAUCCUCUUAUCUUAAUAUUCAUCUAGUCUUAUAUAAGUUUGGGUAUAUAGAAAUACAAACAGAAAAGAGAGGAUAGGCUCAUUACAUAAAAAAAAGAUAUGGAAAUAGCCAUAAUACAUAGCAAAAGAGAAAAAAAGGAGCGGGAGAGCCAAAUGAAUCGAAAGAUUCAUGUUUGGUUCGGGAAGAGAUCAUAAAAAUUGUAAACUGGUUCAUUCAUUUGGCCAUAGACUAGAGCUACCUUUGAUUCCUCAAUAUUUUUUUCAUUAAUUACUCCAGAUUCCUUCAUUUCCAUAUAAAGAUCAUUUCCUUCACGAGUCCUCCCGAAUUGAGACCCAUUGUUUAUAGGUCUGGGGAUAAAGUAGUGACUUCGGAUAUUAAUGAACUUUAUAAGAGAGUUAUCCGUCGGAACAACAACCUUGCCUAUCUAUUAAAAAGAAGUGAAUUAGCACCAGCAGAUUUAGUAAUGUGUCAGGAAAAAUUGGUACAAGAAGCCGUGGAUACACUUCUUGAUAGUGGGUCCCGCGGGCAACCGACAAGGGUUGUAUCAAUUUCUUUUUGAAUUUCUAUAUGUGUAAUUACUUCAGAACUUGAGUCUGAUUCUAUUUUUCUAUUCGAGCCUUCUAAAUCAUUAGACAUUUUUCCUCAUAAAAGGAAUCGUAAUAAAGACUUGAAAUUGGUGGAAAUGAUCAAGUAGUACUUUCUUCGGAUUCCAGUCUAGAGUAUGUUCCCAUUCACUUGUUAAAGAAAUGGCUAUCAAGAACGAAUUAACCCUUUAUUCUUUUUUUCUUUUUAAGUAUACCCUUCCCCGGGAAAGAAGAAUAGGACAAAAGAUAUGGAAUGCAAUAGAAAAUAGGACAAAAGAUAUGGAUGAGUUCCCUCCGCUAAAAUUUGCCCUUUUUUAAUGGAUUUACCCCGCGUAACCCGAGGUUUUUGGUGCAUACAAGUAUUUUUGUUAGAGCGCUGAUGGGCAACUAAAGGAAUACUUAUAGUCUUCCCACUACUUGAUAAAAGGAUCUUAUGACUAUCACUAGAAAUGAUCUUUCCCUCGCGUUCGGCUAUAACGGAAACCCUCGAAUCUAGAGCUGUUUGGCGUUCCAAUCCAGUUCCAACAAUGCACUUCUCGGACCGAGAAAGUGGAACUGCUUGGCGUUGCAUAUUAGAACUCAUUAAAGCCCGAUUCGCAUCAUUAUGCUCAAUAAAAGGAAUGAGAGAACCCCCAAUAGAAAAAUAUUGGAAAGGGAAAAUACUUCUAACAUGAAUCUGUUCCCAUGCAAUAGUCAGGAAUUCUUGACGGUAUCUAGCUGGAACAACCUGUUCUUCCUGAAUACCCUGAUUCAAGGACAAAGAAUUUCCUGCUGCUAUCAUAUAAUAUUCAUCUCUAUUUGGUGAUAAAUAAACCACCUGUCUCUCUUUUUUUUCUUUUGCUUUCUCAGAUAUUUCAUAAAACGGACUCUCUAUAGACCCCCAACAGUUUUCUGUUGAGGUCUAUCCCGUAGAGGUAGUCAAAUUGGAUCAGAACAGCCAUUUGAUCCAAUAUGAACUUUCUACUUAUGAUCGUCAUGAAUUGAAUUACAAUCAAAUUGCUUUGAGUCGGUCUCGAUUUCUGGAAUUCCUUAUUUCUAUCUCAUGCAAAAGAAGAGGAUCCAAGGCAGAGAUAUGGUAAUAUGGAGAAGACAAAAUUGUUUGAAGCACGCACAGAACCGGAAGCGCCCCUUGUUUCAAAGAGAGGAGGACGGGUUAUUCACAUUUAAUUUGAUGGUCAGAGGCGAAUUGAAAGCUAAGCAGUGGUAAUUAAGACCCCCGGGUGAAAAUAGGGAUGUCUCCUACGUUACCCAUAAUAUGUGGAAGUAUCGACGUAAUUUCAUAGAGUCAUUCGAUCUGAAUGCUACAUGAAGAACAUAAAUUCGGAACAGAAUGAAGAUAAUGUAUUGGCAAGAGAUAUAUAUUAACAGGACUUUAGAAUUGGGAUGUUUGGCUGAAAAAUUAGCUGGAGUUGCUGGAGUUCAGCUCCAGAGCCACGCCAAACACGUCCUUACUCCGUUUUGCUUCUUUUAGCUGUGGAGAAAACUGCGGGGAAAUGGCCUGCUUUGCAAUUAACAUUUUCGUUGCGUGGCAACCUCAGGAACCCGGAUAACUUGGGCCUUAGAAACCUGGGCCAAGUUGUGGGCAUUUGCACACUACAGCCAGCCAGCCUACAAGCCUGGAAAGAAGAAACGCUAGGCUUUCUUCUCAAGGCUUGGAUUUUUCAUCUUGCUUGAUUCUUGAGUGUAUCUGCCAAGGCCUAGUGCUUCAGCUUCUGAACGAAUUUGCCGUUCAGAGUACAAAAUGCAGGUAACACGAACACGAACACGAACACGGUAGUGCUCCUGCCUCUUCUUUCAAAAAAAAAAACACGAACACGAAGAGAACACACACUGGGCUUCAUGCCUUCAUGCACCUGAGGCUCCUGCCUCAUGGUCAGUGGUUACUGUUUAUCAUGCCUUAGCUGACCCAGAUCUCUGUAGUUCAAUGUCAGCCUUUGGCCGGACUGCAAGGUGUUCGGCAGAAUGCCGCACAAGAUUUUUUGUGCAAAGAUGCACGCAGAAGCAGUUUUAAGAGCAGGCGCACCAUCUACUCGUCAGGAUGCCUGCAGAUCAGGUACAAUUUUCUGCGCGUCCCUUUUCUUUUUGCAUUUAGAUUUAGUAAGUAUACUGGCCAACUGCCCAUACAUCGGAUGUGAACUGGUUAUCGUCAGCUUGGGUCAUCAUUAUCCAAGCGUGCAAAUAUUUACAGCCUUGCAAAACUAUAUCACAAGCAUGAGCCAAUAUGUCCUUUACAUUGCAAUUUUACUACUGUUUCACGAAAUGAAAAGGAUUCAAAUCUAUCUUUUUGCAAAUACGGGACUGUUAGAAUCUGGGAUGGUCGAUGACGAAGUAGUAACCCAGGGCCACAGGAACUGCAACCAUCAUGCCGACAAUUAUCCUGCCAGAUGAGAGAGAUCUCAGUUAGUUCUUUUAGCACGCAUACCUUCUUCCUAUUAACUCUGCCCGGGAUUAAGAUGUACUCACGCAGUGCUCACAAUGUCUGCGUGCACGUUAUACUCCUUCGCAAACACAAAUGGCACUAUUCCUUGAGGUAGAGCUGCCUGUACAGAAUCUUGAGAGGUCAAGCAUCACGUUUGUCUUUGAAUUCCACAUGGUUGUGUUAGAAUGGACGAUACAAAUGAAAGGACUAGAGUGUACCUGUAUGAUAGCCACCUUCAGCAAAAUCCCAUGCAUACCAAUUGCAUAGGAAGAUAUCACCAUCAGGGCUGGUCCUAGGAAGAAUCUGAUGCCUAGUGAUAGUAGCAUCUUUUUGGUUCCACAGGCUAUAAUUUUAGUUUGUAGGGCAGUGAAAAGACCUGCAAUAGAAAUAGUCAGAAGGCAUAGCAUAACUGUUUUUCCUCUGAGUUUAUCAAUAUAUGCUACUUGUAGUUUGCUGUUGUAAUGCACACCUAGGCUGAACAUCGCCAUCCCUAGCCCUCCAUCUGAAAGUAUUCUUAUGGAAUUGCUGACGAUCGAUGGUAACUGUACUCGCCACCUGCAGGAUAUGGUAUGCAGCAGCAAGAGAUGACUUUCUGGGUUCCAAAUUAAGAGCAUAAACUCAGUUCAUAAAAAACUCGUGUUCAUACCUGAAGCUGAUCAGUGCCCAGAUUAGGCCGAUUAGGCUUGCAUACAUAUUGGGAUUUAUCACUAGCUUCCUACCGACCACCAACAAAAAGCAAAAAGCGCUAUAACAUCUUGCUGAUACUCCUUUUGCUCGGCCCUCUUCGUGUCUUUCCUCCAUAGGUCCUGGAGUACCUGAUUCUCCUUCAUCUUUGAAACAUGAUAUAGGAUAAGAGCUUGUUUAACUAAUUCUGUCAUUAAGUUAAAACCUCAGGAGAUAAGUUGAAGUUACUUGCUUUAGAGUGGACUUAAAAGUCCAAUAUAUACAUUGAGCAUGGGAUAACCAAGAAAAGCCUGUGCAUUGUUUCAGACAUACACUAUUGCAUAAAAGAUGAGCACUAUAGUAAACGAGUCUCAAGUAUAUUGUUCCAAUAAAUCACUGGAGAAAUGAUUUCAUGAUCAAUUUUUUAUGGCAUGUAUUACUUCACAAUGCCCAUCCUCUGUCUGAAUUUAUUUUGACUUUUAAAAGAGUUUUUUCAAUCGGGCAUGUAAAUGUAUAACAGGCCCAUACAAAUAAAUUGAUCUGUGAAGGAUGGAUUCUGGAUUCAGAUAGGCAAUCUCCUGCCUGUUUUCUUUAAACUUCUUCUACACAAUUAAAUAGGUAGCCCCUCCUGCCUGUCCUCAUUUCAGUAAAAUAAAUGAACAGCCCCAUGUGGUUUUACCUGACUGUAUUAUGGUUUGAACGCACAAAUAGGAUUCGUGCUACUAGAAUUGUAUGUCACUUUACAAAUGAACAUUUUUUUCUACCUGAGACAUUAUCAUAUUACUAGCUACGUGCUUUUUGUUUAUGGUAUAUUUGGAAGAACACAACUGUCUGACGGAACAUCCUUGACUUAGAUCAUGUGAUAAUUUUAGCAUGGUUAUUUUCAUCAAUCGCACUUAUCGUUUGGUUAGCUACUCUGCUUCAUUUAUUAGAAACUGUAAGAUCUAUUUUCUAGCACAAGGAACAAGAGAAGCAAUAAGAUCUGUAUUAUUUUCAGAGCAGUGUUGAGUAUAACCUGUUUAAUUUUGCACAGUAUGGAGACUAACAGAAAAAAAGGGAAUGACAACAGAGAUACAGGAAAAAUCAAACUGUAGAGCAGAAUCAAGUUCAAAUAUCAAUCUUCAAAAAUGCAGUGAGGAUGUUCUUACUUGUUCCAGAUGAUGUUGUCGUAGCCAGUCCUCUAGCAGCCCGAAACUCAAACAGAAACAACAGAAGUGUGUACCAAAUUAGGCUCUGUAGGGCAACUAUCUGACUUAGAAGCUUCACAGCUUCAUUGCCAUACAUUCCUUUCAGCAAUGGGAUGCCAACAAUCAAGGUAUUGGGCAGUGUUGAUAAAGAAAAGCCUGUAAUCAGCCAAUCAAACUUCUCCCCACAACAUGCUUUAGAGAUAACUGCAAACCCCAGCAAGGAGAGUGAUUUCUGUAGGAUGUCUGAGAAUAUGAGCUUUAGGUUCAUGUCAUAAGGAUCGUUUGUAGAGAGGAUCUGGAAAGAGAGCAAAGGAAUGGAGAACUUCGCCACAAACUUGUUUAUACCAGAGCACUGCUCUGGGGUGAAUAGCUUCCACCAUUGUAUGGACAAGUAGGCCACUAUCAUAGCUACAUACAAGGGCACUGUUUCUUCAAGAACAUGGUAGAUGGUUGGCCAAGAGAUCAUAAUGGAGGGACCUUUACUCCUGAAGAACACUCCAAAUAUCCUGGCCAAUCUUAGGUCUGUAAGGUUUUUGAGAGCACUGUAGCUGUCUUAUAUAGACAUAGACAGAAGCCAGGUAUUGUGCAAACUUUUCCAUGCAUGUUUUAGCUUUAGCAGAGCCUUUGAAAAUGUCCAAAUUGCCCAUGCUGGAUUAUAGCCAGUUGCAUUCCCGUUCUUAUUACAUGGACUGGACAUUUGAACCUCCAUGUGUGCAGUACUCAUUUUUUUUGGAACUGAAAUGUGUGCAGGACUUUUUGUUUGAGUGAACAAUGGCAACGAGUAGACCAUAUUCAUGCGGAAAUAUAAGAAAAUUAAAAUGAUUACUUAGACCAAAUAUCUUUCCGCACCUUGAUUCAUCUUUUUUUCAACCUGAUAAAGUCCCUUAUUGUUUUGUUUAUCUGCUGAACUACAAUAAUCGUGAAAGCGCAAUCCAGAAUAUUUGCUAAAUGUAUGAACUUUUGAUAUCUUGCCUUUAUCUUGUUGACUGACUGAACCUCGGCAUAUGAUCAUGUUAAUGACUCAAAGAAGAAUCAGACAUAUAGUCUCAUGGACUUUUAAUCUUUCUAGUGAUCUUGAGCCAUAUCUGCAGAAAAGGGACUUCUCUGUUCUGUUGUUUUUUCAGGGCAAAGAGACUGUUUAUGCGACUUUUUCAUAACAUUAUUUGUCCCAUUGUCGGUCUGAACUCGGGUAUAGCUGUCACAGAUGUCUCAAAUGAGGUGUGAAAUCACUGUGUGUUUAAUGGGAUGUGUUUCUCUUGUACAACCAUUUGUUCUGGCCGUGACAUCUUGUUAGUAUGAGACAUUUGGCAACAUGCUAAGCAGUAAAAUGACCAAGGCAUGUGCCCCAAUAGUUCAAAGCAGAAUAGCAUUUCUUUCCUCUCUUCCUUUCGUUCAUGGUCAGAGGAAAUAGACUUUGGAAAAAGAAAUCGGGAGACAGCUCCAGCAAAUGGUGCAGAAGCUUUGGCAUAGCUUGUCGGGCUGGUAAUUCGCUGUUCAUCAGCGAUAAAUUCUUCUAGCAGCAUGGCGGUCCAUGCUGAUUUGAAAUAUUGUUUUACCACAUGAUGAUAUUCUUGUUAUCUGCCUAUUCCUUUCCAUACAGUAUGAUCUGCACUGUUUACACCAGUGACAAGCAGCGAUCUUUCUGCUAUUUUAAUUAUGUAAGUGUACCCUGAUUCACAAUCCCCGCAUUGCAAAUUCACAGUGAGUUCACUAACCUACUAACUGUUUUGGCUCCAAAUGCAGUUAUGCAACCAUUCGGACGAAUCGAGGAUAAGAGUCCAAGAGAGGUGAUCAAACGUAACACGGCGAGGGCUAAGCGUGAUUAGAAAUUUCAUACGUUUUACCUGCAUCCGUUUUGCCCAUGGGACACUUUUGACAUACCAUUCGUACAGUCCUGAAUGCAUUUUCAACCAACCCAUUUCAUCUGUCCCUGUCUUGAAAGUAUAUACUACCCCGGUACAGGAUCAGUAUGUGUUUUUGUCCUUUCAGGCUCGACGUCAUUUUCUCCAGGGAAAAAGAAAAUUCGCCUGAUCUUCCAGCGACGCGCCACCAUUCCUGCAAAGCCGAUAAGCCCAAGGCAAGAAUAAAGAAGUUAAUUGCAGAGGAAGCAACGGAGAGAUCGGUCGGUACAUGUACAGCGGCAUCGGAUUUGUCUUGCCUCGUCAUUUAUGGGAAAAAGGCCGGAAUGAGUGCGCCGGUGAAACUUGCUUUGAGCCAUGGCAUUUUUGCCUCAAAUAGCACAAGCGCUGUGCGUCUCCUCCUUUGCCAAAGGCCUCCGGUUUACUGCCCUCUCUUUACGCUCUCUUCACCAGAUGGUUCUCUGUCAAAGAAGCUGCGGCUUGUUGGUUCCGGUGAAUUGAUCUUUCAGAGUACCCCCAGGCUGUGCUUUUAUCUUUACCACGGCUCAUGUUAUCUUGUUUGCAUGGAUCAAACUAAAGUCUUCACCUAAGAUGCUCAUAGGUUAUAAAAAGAGCCUUACAACAGAUGCCCUUUGGCCUGUGAAUUUGUUCUGCGCUUUUGGAUGAUUACUUACUUGGCGUGUUUACUGUACUUGUGACUGUUUGUUUCGAUUUUCGAAGAUGCACUUGAAGUGGGCUAACCCGACAGGAAAACAACUUUGUCGGGCUCAUGCCAGUGCUGUUUCUAUCCUGUAGGCAGCCCUUGCAAGUUUGCAGUUACCCAUCCCGAUUUUGAUCUUGCAGGGUGACAGGGAUUCAGAGAGCAUCUGCUUUGGCCUCGCACACCCCCUCUCGCUCUUUCGUUGCAUGUCUGUCAACUUUCUUUUUUUUCCCACCUGAAACCUCGAUGCAUGUUUUCCAGGGCUUUCUUUUGUCUAAUCUAAUAAUAGAAGAAAAAGGCACUGUCUGCAGGCUAAAGCUUGCCGCAGUUCGCAAUGUGAAAUGGACAAUAAUCUAUGCCCUGCGGUGCAGAGAGGCAGAGAGCCUUGUCCGCUAAUGCACCGGAUCUCGCUGUUCCCUUCGGCAGUGAAGCACGGGAACAAUAACGCGCCUGACCUGGCUAGGCCCAUAUCAUCGUAGCACCGUGCCCGGCUGUGCACGGACGCCAGCCACAGAGUCUUGGCGUCGGACUCGGACCCAGGUUUUCGGCACCAAACCACGCCGCCUAUGACAAUGACAUGGUUGGCGUCUUGGCGACAGCUAGCACUGUGAUCCACAGCGCUCGUCCAAGCUGGAGUCAUGCAAAGAUGGAAUGUUAAGUUCGGCACGCAUGACAGAACAAACGGCCAGUGCGCCGGCCAAGCUCUGUGGCGCACGUUGCGCAGCAGACACUCCCACGGGCCACGGCGUCGAAACGCACCUGGCUUGCCGGUACUCGCUGGCAAACUGGGUCCAGAUCGAUGGCGUGGCGAGGAGCCCGGCGUCCACGGGCGCAGCGUCGCAGGUGCGCCAGGCGAUCCGGCGGCAAUGAUAACUGCGACCGUCGAUGCACACAGGCGCAUGGGCCCGGAUGCCCGUUGGCACUCGCGCAUCCGCCGCCGGCCGGGGCCGAGAGCCCGAGAGCUCUCUCGCGCGCGACGACGGGGCGGGCAAUUCGGCACGGCAGCCCAUCCCGUCGGCCCAACCCUCGGAUUCCGAGAGCCACGAUCGCUUCAACCAAAAAAAGGAAGCCGCGCGCGCCCCGCACCGGAGACUCCGAGGGACAGCAGCAUGACCCAAACCAGCCCGAUGCCGCCGCUGCUCGGCGAGGCCACGCUGCUCCCGUCCCUCACCGCGGCGGCGCCCCACCACGUCCUGCGCGCGCUCCACGCGCACCUCCUCGUCUCGGGCCGCCUCGCCUCCCCGCCCCACCUCGCCGCCUUCCUCGCCUCGCUCGCAUCCUCCGGCCACCUCGCCUACGCGCGCCUCGUCCUCCCGCGGCGCCCCGCCACGCUUCUCGCCCACAACGCCCUCCUCCGCGCGCUCGCCCGCGGGCCGCGCCCGGGCCUCGCCUUCGCCGCCUUCCGGGACCUCCCGCUCCCGCCCGACCACUACUCCCUCAGCUUCCUCGUCCGCGCCGCCGCUGCCCUGGCGGCGGCCCCGGCCGCGGCUGGUGAGAGGCCCGUGCGCACCGAGGCGAGCGCGAGGAGGCUGCUGGUCGCGGUGUCCGCGCACGGGGCCGCGGUGCGGCGGGGCCACGCGGCGGAUCCGCACGUCCAGAGCGGGGUCGUCUCCAUGUACGCCGCGCUCGGGGACGCCGCCGGCGCGCGCGCCGCUUUCGCGGAGAUCACGUGCCCGGACGUGGUGUGCGUCACGGCGAUGGUCGGGGCGCUCUCCGCGGGCGGCGACGUGGACGCCGCGCGGGACCUAUUCGACGAAAUGCCUCUGCGGGACCACGUCGCGUGGAACGCCAUGAUCGCGGGGUACGUGCACGUGGGCAGGACCAGGGAGGCGCUGAGGCUGUUCGACGAAAUGCAGAGUGCUGGCGCCGCCAUCGGGGAGGCGACACUGGUCUCUGUGCUCACGGCAUGUGCGCAAAUGGGUGCAUUGGACCGUGGCAAGUGGGUGCACUGGUAUAUGCGCAGCCAUGGGAUGCGGAUGUCAGUCAUGCUCGGCACUGCCUUGGUGGAUAUGUAUUCCAAGUGCGGUGUGGUGGCAACGGCCAUGGAGGUGUUUGAGAGCAUGGGCGAACGGAACGUGUACACUUGGACAAGUGCAGUCAGCGGCCUUGCAAUGAAUGGCAUGGGAUUGGAAUGCCUUGAGCUGUUCAAGCGCAUGGAGAGCUCAGGGGUCCAGCCUAAUGGUGUCACCUUUGUUGCUGUGCUACGUGGAUGCUCCAUGGCUGGGUUGGUAGACGAGGGGCGAACUUGCUUUGACUCCAUGAAAGAUAAGCACGGAAUUGAUCCUUGGCUUGAACACUACGGCUGCAUGGUUGAUCUCUAUGGUCGAGCUGGGCGUCUAGACGACGCCAUCAACUUCAUCAAUGGCAUGCCUGUGGAACCGCAUGAAGGUGUCUGGGGAGCACUGGUCAAUGCUUCUCGGAUUCAUAAUAAUGUUGAGCUGGGCAAACAUGCAUUGGACAAGCUCUUGCAAAUUGAGUCUGAAAAUGAUGCAGCUCAUGUCCUGCUAUCUAACAUCUAUGCAGUGACACAAAAUUGGAAGGGCGUCAGCAGGGUUCGGGGCAUGAUGAAGGCCAAGGGAGUGAAGAAGGUGCCUGGUUGGAGUGCCAUCGAGGUUGAUGGCAAGGUACACGAGUUCUUUGUUGGAGGGAAGUCACACCCAAGGUACAAGGAGAUCGAGAUGAUGCUUGCAGAGAUGAGUCGGAGGCUGAGACUGCAAGGGUAUGCUGCCAACACCAAAGAGGUCCUGUUUGAUAUUGAGGAAGAGGAGAAAGAGGACGCCAUCUCCUUGCAUAGUGAGAAGCUGGCACUUGCCUUUGGGCUGAUCGCGUUGCCAGAAGACGUGGAAAUUAGGAUUGUGAAGAAUUUGAGAGUAUGCAAGGACUGCCACGAUUAUACAAAAUUGAUAUCUAAGGUCUUCGACAGAGAGAUAAUCACGAGAGACAGGAAUAGGUUUCACCAUUUCAAGGAUGGAACGUGCUCCUGUAAGGACUACUGGUGAAUUUUGAAGUGUUUGGUGAAUUGUCUUCAUUCAAUUUUGACGAUCCGUUCAGAUUUAUAGGUAACAAUAUUUAUGCUUUAGAAUCCUGAAACACAGAUCAAACUUCCCAGGUGCAUCUGAUUAAGUAAACAUCAUAUUCAGCUUGUAACUCUGUAAGAACAGUAGGAUGUCAUGUACACACCCGAGUGUAUCACCACAUGAACGAAUAAAGAAUUUUAGGUGUCAUUUUGAUCAGCUGCAAAAGCAUAACACAAACAGGAUUUCCAAAAAAUUAACCAGGAUAAUCACAUGCAAGGAACAAGAAGAGAGAUACACAUGUUUGGUCUAGGUCGUAUUAGUGCAGAAUAAUGAAGUUAGAAGAGGGGAAUCCAUCAUUGCCUACAUAACAUAAACAAGGUCAAAUCAAGAGCUCUUUCAGAUGAAUUAUUUCUCCAAGAACAUUUUUGAACGAACAAAAAGAACUUCAAAAUGAUUCUCCUCAAUCAUAACAGGACAAAUUUCACAGGUCAAAAACACAGAGAUGGACUUGAUUUCGCUUCAAACUACAAAGUUGUGAGGUCAUUUCUCAAGGCUGCAGCACAUUACAGAACAUGCCUCAUAUCCAAAUACAAACAGUCUAGUUUUGUAAUCAGAAAGCCCAAGGUCGUAAGUACUGUCCAGGCAACUCAGUAAUAUUGGUAGCCUAUUUGGAGGAAGGAGGUUGCUCCAGGAAAGCUGAACCAUAGAAGUUACGAAUUUGGAUCCUUAUCGAUUGUAAUCCAAAUCCUAAAACUUUGUAGAAAUUUGAAGUAUAUCAAUAAAACUUUUAGAGCAACCUCCCUGUCCAGUAGUAGUAGAUAGUUUAUUUUCCUCUUUUUAUUUAAAAGAAAUGGAUAUUGUUCUGUACUAGUAGAGAUCAAUAACAUCAACACAAAACUGCAGACCUUUAUAUCAAACUUUUAAAAACGUUUCUAGAACGAACUUAUCGCCUUCUAUAGGAAUAUAAGCUGCAAUUAUUACAAUUCAAGUAACUUGAAUUCUUGAGAGUAUCAUUGAGUUUUGACAGCAACUGCCUCUGCCUUUAAGUAUACUUAAGAGUUCCUUGUUCCAAUCAGAACUCCAAAAUAAAGUAAAACUGUUUCUACCUCAUGAGGCCCAGCCAAACUUCUUCAUGACAUUCUUGGUUCUCUUCCGGAGCCUCACAAACACGAUAACCAUGCAAGCCAGCACCCAUGGCGGGAAGUUCACGGUGCCCAGCCUGGAUGCAAGCCACUCGGGCAUCUUGGCCUCCUUGAAUAACACAGCAGCUACCACCGUCAUUGCGGCGACCCCAAUCACCAUCUUCGUGAUCGGCUUCAGCAAAGAAUCCUAUAAACCAUGAAAGAUGCAAACGCAUGAAGUAAGGUUCCCCACUUCUAAAUUAACUAGACAACAAGGUAUGCUAAACAAUUGUUAAAUCAAGGAGCAAGUAAAUUGAGGGGAAAGUGAUGUGAGGUGGUGUUUGGAGGAGCAAGUUCUAAGAGUACCUUGGGUUCGCCGUCGAGGAAGAUGGUGGAAUCGGGGGCGUAGGUGAGGAGGGAGCGGCCGUUACGGGGGUUGAAGCGGAUGGCGACGCCGCGUUUGCGGGUUGCGGGGUCGAAGGCGAAGACGGACUUGAGGCCGUGCUGCUCCAGGAUGUCUCCCACCUCCAGCUGGUCCUGCGACCACCCGCCCAGCGGCGACCGGAACACGGCCACCGGCCGCCCUCGCCGGAACAGCUGCACCUCCACCUCCGGCGCUGAGGCCGCUGCCGCCCCGGAUCCGGCCUUCCCGUCCCGGGCAGGGGCCGUGGCUGCAGACUCCUCUUGGAUGGCAUCGUCGCUGGCCUCCGCGGCGGCUGCCGGCGCCGGCGCGGCCCUAUCAGCUUCCGAAUCCAUCGGUUUGGUCGAUCGGUUUUUUCUUCCUUUUUCGAUCAGUGCUCGAUCGGGUUCAGGACUUGACGGGAAUGGAAUCUCAUGCUGACUCUUCUCGUAUUUUUAUCAAAAGAACUGGGCUGGCUGCUUGACAAGAAACUUUCUUUAUUGGGCCGGGCCUAAACUUAUUGAAGCCCAAUAGUCAAUUUAAUGUAUAUAUUCCUCCAGUUGUUUAAGAAAAAUAUCCUAGACAUGAAUCCUAAAAAAAUGAAUAUCUGAGACAUUUCACCUUGCUUCAGUGCUUGUAUAGUUGUAUUCUAUAUCUACAUUUGUAGAAAGCACAAACUGCAUGCUUGCAUCUACAUUUAGCGAGGGAAAAACCUUAUGAAGUUGAAAUUUUAUCAGCAAACCUCUGAAAUUAAUUCAGGAUCAGGAUUAGUCUGGUCCAGCUGCAAGCCCAGGCCGUCGACGGCGCUGUAAAUCUCAGCUGACCUCGGGUGAUAGGUAUCUUGCACCAGGAACUUGUGCACCUCGCCGUCCAGCUCUAUCCAGCUGUAGGCGGACAGCUUCUGAACGUUCUUGCUCCUCAUCAGGUCCCUGAUCUCCCUCACAUCGCCCCAUAGUCCUGCGUCAGCAUAGAUGUUGGACAGGAGGACAUAGAUCGAUGAGUUGUCAGGCUCUAGUGCCAGGAGCUUGCCCGCGGCGAGCUUGGCAAGCUCAACGUCUGCGUGGGUUCUGCAGGCGCUGAGCAGCGUGCUCCAGAUCACCGCGUUUGGUUCAACUUUCAUGUCGCAGAUGAACUUGUAGGCUUCCCACAGCCUGCCUGACUUGCAGAGGAGGUCCACUAUGCAUGCACAGUGCUCAACUUGAGGAGAGACAUGAUGCUUCUUCUUCAUCUCUUCGAAGAACGCCAUGCCUUUGUCUACCAGACCAGCGUGGGUGCAUGCUGUCAAUAGUGCGACGAAGGUGAUCUCGUUUGGCUGAACCCCAUCUGAUACCAUUUUUUCAUACAAGGUGAUUGCAUCAUCUGCAAAGCCAUUCAGCGCUAGGCCUCUGAUCAUGGAGUUCCAAGAGAUGACCACCUUCUGUUCCAUCCUGGUGAAGACAUUGCGAGCUCUGCCAACAUGCCCGCACUUGAUGUACAUAUCAAUCAGAGCAGAACCGAGAUAGCUGGUAAGUGGCAAUCUCUGACUCUCAACAUAAUUACCAAUCUGUUCUCCAAGUUCAUCGGAACCCAGCUGAGCACAUGCAGACAAUACACCAACAAGAGUAACUUCAUUCGGCUUGCAAUUGGUUGCCUUCAUCCUCUCAAACAGCUCAAGAGAUUCAUGUGGUCUCCCAUUCUGCGCAUAACCAGCAAUCAUGGUGCUCCAUGCCACGACAUCCCUUCGUGGCAUCUGAUCAAACUCCUGACGAGCCUCAUCAAUAGCCCGACACUUGACGUACAUUUCCAUCAAAGCAGUGUGGACUAUCAUAUUCUGCAAGUCGCGCUCCCCGAUCAACGCCCUUGCUCGCCUACCAGUAUCAAUAUCACCAGUUUUCGCGCAGAUGGAGAACACCGUUGUGAUAGUGAUAUCAUUUGGACUUGCACCCUCGCUCAACAUCCGAUCAAACAAUGCCAAUGCUUCAUGGAAUUCUCCACCGUGUGCAUAGCAGGCGAUCAUGGAAUUCCAUGAAGCGGAUGUCCUCCUCGGCAUACCAUCAAACAGCCUUCUCGCCUUCUCCACAUCCCCGGACUUAGAAUACCCAGUGAUCAAGCAAUUCAUUGGUAUCGGGUCCUUCACUGGCAUCUCCUCGAAGACCUUCACAGCUGACACCAUGUCCCCGUUCUUUGCAUAGAAAUCCACUAGAGCAGUCUGCACAAACACGUCCCCUAGCAUCCCACGGACAAGGGCGUGGCAAUGCGCCUGCCUGCCCUGGCACGUCGCUGCCGAGAGGGCGCAGGACUUCAGGACAAGCGGGAAGCAGCCCGGCGGGAUGCCGGCGCCCCUGCAGUGCAGCGAGUAGAUGGCCUCUAUGAGCUCCAGGUGCAGCGAGAGCUUUGAGAGGCCGGAGAGGAACGCGCUACACAGGGCGGCUGUCGGGUGGGGCACCGCGUCGAACAGGUGGCGUGCGGCUCGGGAGGUGGAGGCGUCGGAGAGGAGGGCGUGGAGCGGUCGGGUCUUGAGGAGGUGCGCGAGGUUGGUAGGCAGGAGGGAGCGGAGAAGGCCGGGUUCCAUUGGCGUCGGUUGGCGGGGUCAGGCUGGAGGCUUGGGUUAGCGGCGGUAGUGGUAGGCGGCGUGGGUGUUCGACGCCUCGACGGGGUGUGCGGGGGCCAGAGGCGCGUCGCGCGGCUCACGGGACCUGACGCCAGUGGCGUGGCGAACGCUUCGGCUCCGCCGUUCUGGGCAGUGCAGUGCAGGACUGCUGCAGGUGCGAGCCUCGCGGCGGCGUUGGGUUUGUGUUGGGACUUGGGUCGGUGCAAAAGGAAGGGAGGCCAAAGGCGAAAAUUGGCCCAAAUUUAUGCGGUUGCGGUGUCAAAUGCAUAGUAAUUUUUUGCAAGAAUUCUGCAAGUUCCAAAACCAGACCUCGCGAGCAGCAGUUGCUUCCUCAAAAGUACAGAAACUUGUCGAAAACGAUCACACAACUGAUCGCUUUUUUUUCCUUUUGCGGGAAGAUCAUACAACUGAUCUGCCUCUUCUGUCGAAACAAGGCACUUAAAUCGACAUGAUACCAGGCUGCCAGUACCAGCAGGUUUUGUGAACUUCUAUUUUCUAUUUUGGUGAACAGCUUUGACGCUGUAUUUACGGUAAGAACUUUGUUGUGUGCAGUUGCAAUUGUCGAAGAUAAUUCUAUUUUCUUAAAAAAAAAGUUUGGUGAAACCUCCCUGUCACGAAGAGCAAAGCAGCGUGCAUCCGGAUGAUGUUAUUGGAUUAAUGCAGUCCUAACAUCAGCUUACACAGGCAUAGUUCCUUCGACGAGGAAUCGAAACAAUCCCGAGAGAACCGUGAGUCCGUGACUAUACAAUGACACAAGUCACUAGGCAUGGCACAUGAACCUACAACAAAUUGAACCAGAGGCACUCAUCACAAGGUUGUUCAAUACAUGGAGAACGUCUCUCUUUACAUCGCAGGAUAAUAAAAAGGGACAGGCAGCGGCAGAGUUCAUCCAGCAGAGAUUCAGAGCAUCCACUAUUCGAUUCAAGUUGAAGAUUGGUCGCCUCUUCAGCGCUUCCAUUCAGCUUUGACCGCCCUACCUGUAGACGUCAAAAAAAUACAAAUGAAAAAGGAAUUUCUAGAAACAGAAGACAAGGCUUUUAGUUCAUCCUUUUGAGCUUCAUACUCCAAACUAUUCCAGCUAAAUUCUUUCUGGACAUAUGAUUGCAAGAUGAACCGUGCUGUUAACUAGUAUUAUUUUUACCAUCUCUCCCACUGUCUUGUUCUAGUGUCUGUGUCUCUGUGAACACAGUGAAAGAGUUAAACUUACUGUUUGUACUGGAAGGAAGAGAGUGGCGUCGAGUGAAGCCAUUCUUUUCUGCUGAUGAAUCAGAAUCCAGCUUGGGUGAAACCUGUGCUCGCAAUUUCGCCUUCAAGGACUCUGUUGCCGCCAUAUAACUUGGCUGCCUUGGCCGAACAGGAGUAGUGUGAGUUCCAUUUUCCACAUAUUCUGAUUUGUUGGGGAAUGAAGAUUUUCUCUUGCUAGUUCUAUGGCUUCCGUUAGACAGAUGCUCUUCCUGGGACCUUGCUUCCUCUUUCUUCCGUAAAACAUUGUCUUCAUUGUCAAUGUUCUGCAGAGGCAUAAUGUCAACUGCUGGGGCAACAACAGUGGGUUCAUCAACAUUUUCUCCUAUAGAAACCGAAUCAAACUGAGUUUCCAGAUCACUUUUCAAACCAGGUACCAAAUCGAAGUUAUCUAUAUUUGAAUAUUCCAAUAGAUGACCAUUGCCAGAGUACUCUUGAGCUUCAUUUAGCGCCUUUUCACAUUGGCUGUCUUGAUGGUCAGAGAUCCCAUUCAGGAGACUAGAUGUCUUUGAGAUUUCGGCCACAGGAUUAGAAACCUUUGGGACAUCAGGCGUAGAAUCAGAUACCUUUGAGGAAUCAACCCUGGAACUAGAUAUCUUCGAGGCCUCAGCCAUGGAAUUAGUUACCUUCCUGAGGUUCCUUUUAACCUUCUCAAGUUCAGAUAACUGGCUAUCUGGUACUGAAUCAGCAGGGAAGUUAGAGGAUUUCUUUGGAUUACGUUUUAGUUUCUCAGAUUCACUGGGUAAACUCUCGACUGUAGCGCCAGAGCCCUUCCGAAUGUUGCGCUUUAACUUGGCUGAUUCAGUUUCCAUCGCAUAACUAGCCUUCCUUACCAGUAGUUUCCCAUCAGGAACUCUUUUUGGUUGAGAAACAGAUUUCCAGAUGCAGCCUAAGGUCCAUCUCUCUAGCCAGUUGUAGGUUGAAUUGGGAUCCCUCUUGUCAUACUGAAAGUGAAGAGGUUCUAGCACAAUUGGUGAAGACAGAAGCUACAGAAUAUAAAAGUGAGUUAGCACAACCAUGAAAUAUGUAGAUGGAGAGUGAAAGUUUGUUAAAACACAUUCUUAUAGGGAAGGAACAAGACCAAGGCUGUUUUCUUAUGUAUGUAAUUAACUAUGUUUGAAAAGUAAUAUAUAUACCUUCCGAACAUAGGCAUUCGAAGAUAACUUAUCUUUCCAUGCAUCAGACGAUCUAGCACCCUGAAAAGUAAAAUCAACACACUUUCUUUUUAAAAUCUGAUAGACGGAUACUAAACAACAAUGUUGAAUAGGACGAUAUGCAACAUAAUUUUGUUAAAGCAAUCACCACUUAAUAAGACGAAAGAUGCAAACAAAAUAUAAAUGUCUUAAUGUACUCACUCCAAGGCUAUGUUGGCCAAACUUUAAAUUGAAUUGCAUGUCACUUCCAGAGAGUCUAACAUUUCUUCCACGAACUAGAGCCUGAAACUUCACAAUCAACCAAGUAGUACGAAGGGUUGAAACAGCCUGUCUCCUUACAAGAUGCCCUCGAAUCAGUGCCUGAAGUCUUAUGAUACCUUUCAAUGCACGGAAUGACCUUCGUGCCUGCACCACAAACAUCACAACAUUAACACUGUGCUACAGUACUGAACGUGAAAUGAAUACAUUGGAAAAAGUCAUGCCAAUUACACGAACACUUGUACAACAAUAGUUUAAAGGACAGAUAGGGCAACAACACACACCCUGGGGGUGGGGGGGGGGGGGGGGGACUGGACUUUCAGACAUAUAACCAUGUACAACUUGAGUUACAAGAAUACAACAACCUAGGGUUGGGUAGGCUAUACAUCUCUAAUAUGAAGGAUUCAAAAUGCGCAAAAUAAUUGGAGUCUGGGACACUGAUGGGUGCUUCUCUAUCCUCCCAGGGAAAGAAACUGCUAAGGUCCUGAAGAUUACUUGAAAAUGGCUAAUAAUGACAUACAAUCAACCACUCAGUCCAUCAAUUCAUUUAGAAUCCGUGCUGUUAUUUCCUCCAAAGAAAAAUAUGAGUUGUUCCACACAAGGGUUUGGCUAAAACUAUGAGCAUGAGUAACAUUUGCAGAAUGCUGAAGAGUGCAGAUGCAUCAAAAAAGUUGCUGGAACAAUAGUAUUACCAGGUAACCACGAAAGGCUGCCUGUGCCUUCACUGCAGCUUGGUCUUCUCCCAAUUGCCCAGGACCUGAUGUCUCGGACUCAACAAUGCUUUGGUUCUGUUGCCCGGCCCGAUCGCCUGGCAAAUUGACAUUUUCAGCCUUCACAUUAGCUGAAACAGCUCCAUUUUUGUGGGGGUUAACAAGCACUGGCUCAGAGAUCACAGGAGAAUUCUCAGAAAGUGCACGCUCCUCCCCAGUUGAGUAACCGUUGUUAUUUGCAGCCUUCUAAAAAAAAUAUGAUUCAUCCGUCAGGGAAAGGAGAAGGAAGAAACAAAAUAUGCAUCAUACCUAGAUACAAUAUGUAUAAAGAAAAUGGGAAACGGCAAUGAAUGCACAGUUUGCACACUUUUAGCGUCCAAUCCAGUGUGAAACAGUGACUAGUAGCAAUUUCAACCUUUGCGACGUUCAUCACUUCACUGUUAAUAAAUAGAUUGGACGUGCCUGUGUCCCUUCAAGUUAUCAAUAAUUGCAUCAUUAACCCAAAGCUGGCUUAGAGGAGAAAAUUUAGCAAGUUACACCCCAACAGGUCACUUUCGGUUUCGGUAUAUAUGGAGUUCUCUAGGUAGAACUGCACAGAUCAACUGUAAAAGCCUUAGGAAAAAGUACCUUAAACAACGCAUCCGCAUUAUAGAAGUACUUACCGAUUCAUUUGCCUUGGUAGAACCGGAUUUAGUUGAUUUCUUCCCCAAGAGCACAGACUUGAUCCACUUCCCCGGGGACUUUCCCAUUGUAUCCUAAAGCGGCCAACACUGGAAAUUACGAAACCUGUAAAUAGAGGAACUCAUCAGUAAUUCAGUACACAGAUCUGUUAUCUGUACCAGCAUGCCACAACCGACACUAAUUUUCCCAAAAGUAAAUAGAAAGAAGAAACAUGCUGGAGUAACGGUAAUUUCGCUAAACAAGCUUACAGCACCAGCUUCCCAAGUGACAAAACAAAGCUGAAAAAUAUCGUUGAAAGAAAAACGAGCUGUAAGUUUAAACACAAGCAGCAUUAGCAGCGCUAGCGCCGCACACAACCCCAACGCUGUGACAAAAAACAGAAGCGGCAGCAUAGCACAAAGCCGAGCAAGGAAAGCUCAAACCAGCAGAAGAAAUCGCUAAGAGCCAGCAGCACGCAAGCGGAUCUGACCAAACAAACCCAGGCCCGCACAAAAGCAGCGCACCAAUCGCUAAUGCCACACUCCAGCCCGUAAUUAGCGCAGACACAAGCAGAAAAAUGCAGGACGGGAACCUGGAACAGCGGCGCCGCGCGCGCGUCGGCCGGUGGAGGUCUGGAGGAAGCACGCGAAGGGCACGGCGCGGAACACCUCUCGCCGCCUCCCCGUCCCUAUCCGGCAACCUACCUACCCUUCACGCCAACCUCCAAUCCAUCGGAGAACCAGACGCCGGCCGGAGGUAUUUGUUGGUUGGUUCAGUAGCUGGCGGGGAGAGGAGUCAAGUGGGAGGGGCGAGGGAGUGAGCUCACUAGCUCAGGCUGUCAGGCUAGCUCGACAAAAAGGCGAGAGGGGAGGGAGAGCGCGCAGGCAGAGAGAGAGCCAGCGCACGGGGCCCGCGCCGCGACAGUUUCGCACAGAGCACUAUCCGCUCACACCCGCUGGUAGGGGGUCCAGGAAACAUGGGACCAUAUAUCAGCGAGAUGCAUGGUUGCAGGCAGAGUGAAAAAUGUUUCGGAACGCUGCGAGGCGUCACCUUUUCCAGACGAGCAAAGGCUCCGCCCACCGUCGGGACAUGCGCGGACCAGCGGUGGGGCCCGGGGCACCCCGGCCCCAGGGCCCGCAUGUCAGCGAGGCCCAUGCGUCGCCGCGCCCCCCAGGGGCCGGUGCGAAAAAGCGUGGCAGCCGAGCCGGUGUCGGGGGGUGGUCCCCCGACGGGUGUUGCGGUUAGCAUCUUAAUCCGCGCUUGGUGAUGGAGGAUUAGGAUUUACCACUCCGAGGAGCUAAUUUGACCGCUUCCUCGAGUGCGUGCGUGACAGACUCCUCCUGUCGUCUCUGUAGGACUCUGACUGACUGCUGUUGGGGCUUGGUAACGGCGUGGCUUGGAAGAUUCCGUUCCAGUCUUGUCCCUGCCUUCGUCUCGUAGCAAGCAGUACACGUACACCGGCUCGGUAGUUCGGGACAUGAUGCUGGCUCUGGCUCGGGGAGCGGUGGGAUUGCCAGCCAGCCAGCCAGGGGCAAAGCAAAUUUGCAGCUGUUCGUUUGUGCAGUGCAGCGCAGCUACACGGGAUAGCAGGCUCACAACUUAAACUUAAAAUGUUUGUUUGGUUGUUGUAGCGCAGCUGCAGCAGCAAACUCUACCGAACGACAUCUUUGGAGGAUGCCAACCAAACAAGCGAAGCAUCCUGUCUUUGCUCGGCUAGGCGAGCCUAGCUUUUUCAAGCAUAGAGUUUCAGCAUGCAAAGUGGCCGGGAUAAAACGAAGAGCAAUGGCUAGUGCGCGCGGUCGGUGGCGCGUGCACCUCGACCGCGCACGGACGUCUUAACGGCAAUGGACAGCAUCAGCCAGGAUAAUGAGUGUCAUGUCCAGUCACCAUCACGUACAGCACAAAAAGGAACAAAAAAAAAA